GCCUUCGUGGUGUAAUGGUCAGCACGCUCGGCGCGUAUUCGAGAGGCCCGAGGUUCGAGUCCCGUCGAGGUUU
Molecule: transfer RNA, 73 nt
Filed under: Stegodyphus mimosarum
Lineage: Eukaryota; Metazoa; Arthropoda; Arachnida; Araneae; Eresidae
Rfam family: tRNA
About the family: Transfer RNA (tRNA) molecules are approximately 80 nucleotides in length.
Source: Rfam by way of RNAcentral